Molecule: ribosomal RNA, 468 nt
Filed under: uncultured bacterium
Lineage: Bacteria
Description: partial 16S ribosomal RNA
Rfam family: Bacterial small subunit ribosomal RNA
Source: RNAcentral
GACGAACGCUGGCGGCGUGCUUAACACAUGCAAGUCGAACGGAAAGGCCCUGCUUUUGUGGGGUGCUCGAGUGGCGAAAGGGUGAGUAACACGUGAGUAACCUGCCCCUGACUUUGGGAUAACUUCAGGAAACUGGGGCGAAUACCGGAUAGGAGCUCCUGCUGCAUGGUGGGGGUUGGAAAGAUUCGUCGUUUGGGGACGGACUCGCGGCUUAUCAGCUUGUUGGUGGGGUAGUGUGUUACCAAGGCUUUGACGGGUAGCCGGCCUGAGAGGGUGACCGGCCACAUUGGGACUGAGAUACGGCCCAGACUCCUUCGGGAGGCAGCAGUGGGGAAUAGUGCACAAUGGGCGGAAUCCUGAUGCAGCGACGCCGCGUGCGGGAUGACGGCCUUCGGGUUGUAACCCGCUUUCGCCUGUGACGAAGCGUGAGUGACGGUAAUGGGUAAAGAAGCACCGGCUAACUACGUG